UGAUAGUUGCUGCUGGUUCUCUAGGGAGCAUGUGCACGCUUGUCAUCUUUAUAUCUCUCCACCUGUGCACCUUUUGUAGGCCUGGAUAUCUUUCUGAAUGCCCCCUGGCAUUUAGGUUUUGAGGAUUGACUUUUGUCUUUUCCUUACAUUUUCAGGCCUAUGUUUCUUCAUAUACCCCCAAUGUAUGUUAUAGAAUGUAAUAAAUGGGCCUUUGUGCCUUUAAAUCUAUACAACUUUCAGCAACGGAUCUCUUGGCUCUCGCAUCGAUGAAGAACGCAGCGAAAUGCGAUAAGUAAUGUGAAUUGCAGAAUUCAGUGAAUCAUCGAAUCUUUGAACGCACCUUGCGCUCCUUGGUAUUCCGAGGAGCAUGCCUGUUUGAGUGUCAUUAAUAUAUCAACUUCCUCAAGUUUUUGCUUGUUGAGUGUUGGAUGUGGGGGGUAUUUUUUUGGCCUUGGGUUCCCUUCCUUUUCCUGAAGGUCAAGCUCCCCUGGAAAUGCAUUAGCGGAACAAUUUGUUUGACCGUUCAUUGGUGUGAUAACUAUCUACGCCUAGUUGACGUGAAGCCAGGUUCAAGCUUUGCUAACAAGUCCCAUAUUGACGUUGGACAA
This 608-nucleotide ribosomal RNA is filed under the name uncultured Basidiomycota. RNAcentral describes it as "eukaryotic LSU rRNA". The stretch from base 232 to 385 matches the Rfam family "5.8S ribosomal RNA". Lineage: Eukaryota; Fungi; Basidiomycota. The record is from RNAcentral.